RNAcentral lists this ribosomal RNA (649 nucleotides) under uncultured bacterium. RNAcentral describes it as "bacterial SSU rRNA". It matches the Rfam family "Bacterial small subunit ribosomal RNA", at positions 232 to 877 of the family's 1533-position model. The record is from RNAcentral.
CGCGGCCUAUCAGCUUGUUGGUGGGGUGAUGGCCUACCAAGGCGACGACGGGUAGCCGGCCUGAGAGGGUGUCCGGCCACACUGGGACUGAGAUACGGCCCAGACUCCUACGGGAGGCAGCAGUGGGGAAUAUUGCACAAUGGGCGCAAGCCUGAUGCAGCGACGCCGCGUGGGGGAUGACGGCCUUCGGGUUGUAAACCUCUUUCACCAUCGGCGAAGCCGGGAGCUUUUGUUUCUGGUGACGGUAGGUGGAGAAGAAGCACCGGCCAACUACGUGCCAGCAGCCGCGGUAAUACGUAGGGUGCGAGCGUUGUCCGGAAUUACUGGGCGUAAAGAGCUCGUAGGUGGUUUGUCGCGUUGUUCGUGAAAUCUCACGGCUUAACUGUGAGCGUGCGGGCGAUACGGGCAGACUGGAGUACUGCAGGGGAGACUGGAAUUCCUGGUGUAGCGGUGGAAUGCGCAGAUAUCAGGAGGAACACCGGUGGCGAAGGCGGGUCUCUGGGCAGUAACUGACGCUGAGGAGCGAAAGCGUGGGGAGCGAACAGGAUUAGAUACCCUGGUAGUCCACGCCGUAAACGGUGGGUACUAGGUGUGGGUUUCCUUCCUUGGGAUCCGUGCCGUAGCUAACGCAUUAAGUACCCCGCCUGGG